GGGGUUGUGGCUCAGUGGUAGAUUACUUGCCUUGCAUGCAUGAAGCACUGAGUUUGAAUCUCAGCACCA
This 69-nucleotide transfer RNA is filed under the name Ictidomys tridecemlineatus (thirteen-lined ground squirrel). Its description in RNAcentral is "Spermophilus tridecemlineatus (thirteen-lined ground squirrel) tRNA". It matches the Rfam family "tRNA". Rfam says of the family: Transfer RNA (tRNA) molecules are approximately 80 nucleotides in length. Their secondary structure includes four short double-helical elements and three loops (D, anti-codon, and T loops). The record is from Rfam by way of RNAcentral. Lineage: Eukaryota; Metazoa; Chordata; Mammalia; Rodentia; Sciuridae.